Molecule: ribosomal RNA, 253 nt
Filed under: uncultured bacterium
Lineage: Bacteria
Description: partial 16S ribosomal RNA
Rfam family: Bacterial small subunit ribosomal RNA
Source: RNAcentral
UACGUAGGGUGCGAGCGUUGUCCGGAAUUAUUGGGCGUAAAGAGCUUGUAGGCGGUUUGUCGCGUCUGCUGUGAAAAUCCGGGGCUCAACCCCGGACUUGCAGUGGGUACGGGCAGACUAGAGUGUGGUAGGGGAGACUGGAAUUCCUGGUGUAGCGGUGAAAUGCGCAGAUAUCAGGAGGAACACCUAUUGCGAAGGCAGCUCGCUGGGACGUUACUGACGCUGAGACGCGAAAGCCAGGGGAGCGAACGGG